GGAGUUAGCCGGUGCUUCUUCUGUGAGUGAUGUCCUUCCUGCCGGCUAUUAACCCGCAGGCCUUCUUCCUCACUGAAAGUGCUUUACAACCCGAAGGCCUUCUUCACACACGCGGCAUGGCUGGAUCAGGGUUGCCCCCAUUGUCCAAUAUUCCCCACUGCUGCCUCCCGUAGGAGUCUGGGCCGUGUCUCAGUCCCAGUGUGGCUGAUCAUCCUAUCAGACCAGCUACGGAUCGUCGCCUUGGUGAGCCGUUACCUCACCAACCAGCUAAUCCGACAUAGGCUCAUCCGAUAGCGCGAGGCCCGAAGGUCCCCCGCUUUCCCCCGUAGGGCGUAUGCGGUAUUAGCCUGGGUUUCCCCAGGUUAUCCCCCACUACCGGGCAGAUUCCUAUGCAUUACUCACCCGUCCGCCGCUCGCCACCAGGGAGCAAGCUCCCCGUGCUGCCGCUCGACUUGCAUGUGUUAGGCCUGCCGCCAGCGUUCAAUCUGAGCCAUGAUCAAACUCUGA
RNAcentral lists this ribosomal RNA (507 nucleotides) under uncultured bacterium. RNAcentral's name for it is "partial 16S ribosomal RNA". The record is from RNAcentral.